Long non-coding RNA from Emys orbicularis (European pond turtle), 1215 nucleotides. RefSeq lists it as uncharacterized. The record is from RefSeq and is a predicted model, not a curated record. Lineage: Eukaryota; Metazoa; Chordata; Testudines; Emydidae. The transcript has 2 exons.
AGAUGAUGAGAAGCUGAAGAAGAGGAAGGAGCGAUUUGGCAUUGUAACAAGUUCGGCUGGGGCUGGAGCCACAGAGGACACAGAGGCAAAGAAGAGGAAAAGAGCAGAACGCUUUGGGAUUGUCUGAUGUCUGUCCAUUUUAGGCUUUACCUGUUGGGCGGGGAGCACGCUCACGUGUGUGCGCGCUCUCUCUCUCUUCCCCCCUUGCCUUCCCCCGCCACACACACACUAGCACUAGUAAGGAGUGUAGGCUCUCUUCCCCACACAGGACCCAAUAGAGAAUCCCUGAUAGCUGUACAGUUGUGCUGCUUAUUUUUUUCAAUUGUGAAGUUUAAAAAAAAUAUAUAUAUACAGAGCAAAGAGCAAAAAUGUUCUUCUUGUAUCUGUGGUGGGUGAAAUCCCAUUGCCCAGUUCGCCAUUCCCCUGCCACUUGUGUAGUUAUUUACAGCAGUGCAAAGCAGGUGUGUAAUGCCACCACAUCCAAAUUGGAAGUGUUUUACACCCAUUGUGGACUGGUGUAAAUGCCCACACAAGGUGCAGGUUUGAACCUAGGUAGUGGGGAAGGAGAACUGGAGUGGCCAUUAUCAUCAGAUGUAGGAUGAGGAAAGGAUAAUGCCAUUCGGGGAUGAAGUUGGAGAAAGGUUUGCUCUCCCUGCUAUGUCUUAGGGAGUUGCACCCUUCGGUUGAGAGACAGGUUAUGCCACUUAAAGCAGGAACUUCCUGGAGCCGCCCUUUUAUUUAAAUGUUGCUGAUUUUUAUUGUCUCCAUUUCUCUGGGCUGCCCUGGGCAAAGAAACCCUCCUCUCCCUCCUUCAGCCCCAGGAAAUCACUCUUUAAGUUCAGCAGUAUCAGGGCACGCACACCAAUAGCCUGGCUAAAAUCAUUCUUCAGCUCAAGGGCACCUUGCAUCCCUACUUAGGUUCUGCUGUGGAUCAUCUGCUUCUUCUUGGGUUGCCCCGCCCAGCUUGUGACGUCGUGUUUGCUGCCUCGCUGGCCAGGGUAGGGCCUUUCUAAUACAUGGCACGGGAUGGCCAAAAAACAUCGUAGUAAUUCUUGUAUCAGAUAGGCUUUAAACUUCACGAACCACCCCGUAUGUGAAAGGGUCUUUCUCAGCUACCUCUGCUCCCCGGGGGUGGUCUCGUGGGGAAUGGGUUGGAGCAGCAGCUGGUGAUUGGCAGAAGAUCAAGGCCAAAGCCUUGGAAUAAGGAGAGAGGAA